UGUAGCUUAGUGGUACAGCACUUGCUUAGCAUGCAGGAGAGCCUGGGUUCCAUCCCCAGCA
Molecule: transfer RNA, 61 nt
Filed under: Heterocephalus glaber (naked mole-rat)
Lineage: Eukaryota; Metazoa; Chordata; Mammalia; Rodentia; Bathyergidae
Rfam family: tRNA
About the family: Transfer RNA (tRNA) molecules are approximately 80 nucleotides in length. Their secondary structure includes four short double-helical elements and three loops (D, anti-codon, and T loops).
Source: Rfam by way of RNAcentral